RNAcentral lists this small RNA (70 nucleotides) under Pedobacter sp. Leaf194. Its description in RNAcentral is "Flavo-1 RNA". It matches the Rfam family "Flavo-1 RNA". Lineage: Bacteria; Pseudomonadati; Bacteroidota; Sphingobacteriia; Sphingobacteriales; Sphingobacteriaceae. The record is from Rfam by way of RNAcentral.
UUAUAAACCUGAUUGCAGUGGAAACCAAAAGCUUUUUCUGCUUUUGUUGCAACGGAAAGCAGGAACAAAC